This 345-nucleotide unclassified non-coding RNA is filed under the name soil metagenome. Its description in RNAcentral is "partial contains 5.8S ribosomal RNA, internal transcribed spacer 2, and large subunit ribosomal RNA". The stretch from base 1 to 120 matches the Rfam family "5.8S ribosomal RNA", at positions 35 to 154 of the family's 154-position model. The record is from RNAcentral.
GAUGAAGAACGCAGCGAAAUGCGAUACGUAAUGUGAAUUGCAGAAUUCAGUGAAUCAUCGAGUCUUUGAACGCACAUUGCGCCCCCUGGUAUUCCGGGGGGCAUGCCUGUCCGAGCGUCAUUGCUGCCCUCAAGCACGGCUUGUGUGUUGGGCCUCCGUCCUCCUCCCGGGGGACGGGCCCGAAAGGCAGCGGCGGCACCGCGUCCGGUCCUCGAGCGUAUGGGGCUUCGUCACACGCUCUUGUAGGCCCGGCCGGCGCUUGCCGACACAUCAAUCUUUUUUCCAGGUUGACCCCGGAUCAGGUAGGGAUACCCGCUGAACUUAAGCAUAUCAAUAAGCGGAGGA